GAUGAACGCUGGCGGCGUGCCUAAUACAUGCAAGUCGAGCGAACGGACGAGGAGCUUGCUCCUCUGACGUUAGCGGCGGACGGGUGAGUAACACGUGGAUAACCUACCUAUAAGACUGGGAUAACUUCGGGAAACCGGAGCUAAUACCGGAUAAUAUGUUGAACCGCAUGGUUCAACAGUGAAAGACGGUCUUGCUGUCACUUAUAGAUGGAUCCGCGCUGCAUUAGCUAGUUGGUAAGGUAACGGCUUACCAAGGCAACGAUGCGUAGCCGACCUGAGAGGGUGAUCGGCCACACUGGAACUGAGACACGGUCCAGACUCCUACGGGAGGCAGCAGUAGGGAAUCUUCCGCAAUGGGCGAAAGCCUGACGGAGCAACGCCGCGUGAGUGAUGAAGGUCUUCGGAUCGUAAAACUCUGUUAUUAGGGAAGAACAAAUGUGUAAGUAACUAUGCACGUCUUGACGGUACCUAAUCAGAAAGCCACGGCUAACUACGUG
This 497-nucleotide ribosomal RNA is filed under the name uncultured bacterium. RNAcentral's name for it is "partial 16S ribosomal RNA". It matches the Rfam family "Bacterial small subunit ribosomal RNA", at positions 28 to 507 of the family's 1533-position model. The record is from RNAcentral.